This 1071-nucleotide long non-coding RNA is filed under the name Monodelphis domestica (gray short-tailed opossum). RNAcentral describes it as "lncRNA (ENSMODG00000037307.1)". Lineage: Eukaryota; Metazoa; Chordata; Mammalia; Didelphimorphia; Didelphidae. The record is from RNAcentral.
CGGCUGUCGGCGGCCAGUCCCAAGGCCAGCCCUGCCCUGCCAGCCCCUGGGGGGUCUCCUGGGCCCUCCAGGGCUCUGCCCAGACCGAGCCGCCUCCGGCCCCGGCCCCGGCCCCGGCCCGGGGGAAUUCCCUCCCUAAGGUCUCCCGCUCGCUCGCGUGUACACGCCCAAACACACACUUCCAUCGCCCACGCACCCACGAGAAACCCCCGCGAUCCACGGCGCAGUGGCAGAAGAAGGCAGUCCCCUUGGGCAGGGAUCAUUGGGGUCCUGAUACCCCUAGUACAAAGCAGCCCCCCACACACACACUUUGGAAGCUCAUAGAAUUGGAAGACCCAGUGGUGGCCCCCCAGAAGUCGCUUCUGCUCUCUGGCUCCUUCAGUCAUGCUGGAUCAGAGGAUUCCCCUCCAGAAGAUGGGAGCUGGUGAUGCUGCGGGAUCCAUCACUCUAUCCCAUGCUCCCCUGCAGCUGCAGAUGCUCAACCUAGAAGGCUUUGGGGUUGCCUGGGGGUUCUACAGAGCAGAGCCUCCCUCGGCCAAAUGUGGGGGAUGUGGGGAGAUGUAAUGGGCGGUGGGGAAGGCACUGAGCACCCCGAGGUCACAGGUGUGAACUGUUAAACAUGGGUCCACACUUACCUAAGUGUUUCACCUGGAUCAAGCCUUCUUUUUUUCUCUUUUCAAUGCUUAUCUUGGUUCUGGAAUCAAUACUGUAUAUCUGUGUAUUGUCUCCAAGGCAGAAGAGUAGUGAAGGCUGGGCAAUGGGGGUUCAGUGACUUGCCCAGGGUCACCCAGCUAGGAAGUGUCUGAGGUCAGAUUUGAACCUAGGAUCUCCCAUCUCUAGGCCUGGCUCUCAAUCCACAGAUCCACCCAGCUACCCCCUUGUUUCUCUCUCUCUCUCUCUCUCUCUCUCUCUCUCUCUCUCUCUCUCUCUCUCUCUCUCUCUCUCUCUCUCUCUCUCUCUCUCUCUCUCUCUCUCUCUCUCUCUCUCUCUCUCAAAAAUUUAUUUACUUAUUUAAACCCUUACCUUACAUCUUGGAAUCGAUACUGUGUAUUGGUUCCAAUGCAGAAGAAU